AUUGAACGCUGGCGGCAUGCCUUACACAUGCAAGUCGAACGGCAGCACGGGAGCAAUCCUGGUGGCGAGUGGCGAACGGGUGAGUAAUAUAUCGGAACGUGCCCAGUCGUGGGGAUAACGCAGCGAAAGCUGUGCUAAUACCGCAUACGAUCUAAGGAUGAAAGCGGGGGAUCGCAAGACCUCGCGCGAUUGGAGCGGCCGAUAUCAGAUUAGCUAGUUGGUGAGGUAAAGGCUCACCAAGGCUACGAUCUGUAGCUGGUCUGAGAGGACGACCAGCCACACUGGAACUGAGACACGGUCCAGACUCCUACGGGAGGCAGCAGUGGGGAAUUUUGGACAAUGGGCGCAAGCCUGAUCCAGCAAUGCCGCGUGCAGGAUGAAGGCCUCCGGGUUGUAAACUGCUUUGUACGGAACGAAACGGUCUACCCUAAUACGGUGGGCUAAUGACGGUACCGUAAGAAUAAGCACCGGCUAACU
RNAcentral lists this ribosomal RNA (477 nucleotides) under uncultured bacterium. RNAcentral's name for it is "bacterial SSU rRNA". It matches the Rfam family "Bacterial small subunit ribosomal RNA", at positions 30 to 502 of the family's 1533-position model. The record is from RNAcentral.